RNAcentral lists this ribosomal RNA (1470 nucleotides) under human gut metagenome. Its description in RNAcentral is "bacterial SSU rRNA". It matches the Rfam family "Bacterial small subunit ribosomal RNA". The record is from RNAcentral.
AGAGUUUGAUCCUGGCUCAGGAUGAACGCUAGCUACAGGCUUAACACAUGCAAGUCGAGGGGCAUCAGGAAGAAAGCUUGCUUUCUUUGCCGGCGACCGGCGCACGGGUGAGUAACACGUAUCCAACCUGCCCUUUACUCGGGGAUAGCCUUUCGAAAGAAAGAUUAAUACCCGAUAGCAUAAUGAUUCCGCAUGGUUUCAUUAUUAAAGGAUUCCGGUAAAGGAUGGGGAUGCGUUCCAUUAGGUUGUUGGUGAGGUAACGGCCCACCAAGCCUUCGAUGGAUAGGGGUUCUGAGAGGAAGGUCCCCCACAUUGGAACUGAGACACGGUCCAAACUCCUACGGGAGGCAGCAGUGAGGAAUAUUGGUCAAUGGGCGCUAGCCUGAACCAGCCAAGUAGCGUGAAGGAUGAAGGCUCUAUGGGUCGUAAACUUCUUUUAUAUAAGAAUAAAGUGCAGUAUGUAUACUGUUUUGUAUGUAUUAUAUGAAUAAGGAUCGGCUAACUCCGUGCCAGCAGCCGCGGUAAUACGGAGGAUCCGAGCGUUAUCCGGAUUUAUUGGGUUUAAAGGGAGCGUAGGUGGACUGGUAAGUCAGUUGUGAAAGUUUGCGGCUCAACCGUAAAAUUGCAGUUGAUACUGUCAGUCUUGAGUACAGUAGAGGUGGGCGGAAUUCGUGGUGUAGCGGUGAAAUGCUUAGAUAUCACGAAGAACUCCGAUUGCGAAGGCAGCUCACUGGACUGCAACUGACACUGAUGCUCGAAAGUGUGGGUAUCAAACAGGAUUAGAUACCCUGGUAGUCCACACAGUAAACGAUGAAUACUCGCUGUUUGCGAUAUACAGUAAGCGGCCAAGCGAAAGCAUUAAGUAUUCCACCUGGGGAGUACGCCGGCAACGGUGAAACUCAAAGGAAUUGACGGGGGCCCGCACAAGCGGAGGAACAUGUGGUUUAAUUCGAUGAUACGCGAGGAACCUUACCCGGGCUUAAAUUGCAGUGGAAUGAUGUGGAAACAUGUCAGUGAGCAAUCACCGCUGUGAAGGUGCUGCAUGGUUGUCGUCAGCUCGUGCCGUGAGGUGUCGGCUUAAGUGCCAUAACGAGCGCAACCCUUAUCUUCAGUUACUAACAGGUCAUGCUGAGGACUCUGGAGAGACUGCCGUCGUAAGAUGUGAGGAAGGUGGGGAUGACGUCAAAUCAGCACGGACCUUACGUCCGGGGCUACACACGUGUUACCAAUGGGGGGUACCAGAAAGGCCAGCUAGCGGGUGACCGUAUGCUAAUCACAAAAUCCUCUCUCAGUUCGGAUCGAAGUCUUGCAACCCGACUUCGUGAAGCUGGAUUCGCUAGUAAUCGCGCAUCAGCCACUGAGGCGGUGAAUACGUUCCCGAGGCCUUGUACACACCGGGCCGUCAAGCCCAUGGGAGCCGAGAGGUACCUGAAGUUACGUAACCGGAAGGAUCGUCCUUAGGUAAAACUG